RNAcentral lists this long non-coding RNA (2210 nucleotides) under Citrus x clementina. Its description in RNAcentral is "Citrus clementina (C. clementina) long non-coding RNA (CCLE_LNC002239)". Lineage: Eukaryota; Viridiplantae; Streptophyta; Magnoliopsida; Sapindales; Rutaceae. The record is from RNAcentral.
AAAAUAUAUUUAUUAUGAGUUUUCUUAUCGUGCCUAACUUUUAAGAUACGCGUAUAUAAAAUUUUAAGUCUGACAUGAUCCAUGUGCGUGCCGUGCGUGUACCCCACUAAAAUAUAUUCCUAUCAUGCUGUAUUAUACGAACAGAUACUUUUACUCCUGCCGUCCGGCCUAUUAACCAUCUCUACACGUGAUGUACGGCAGAGAGUGAUCAUUCAUAGCUUUUCAGAAAGUACUUGGAAAAAGCAAACGCACACCGCGAUCGAUGUUACCAGCGUCUGCUUCGAGUGCAGCAAAACGCUUGUCGCACCCGUGGUGCUACUGCUGAAUGCGCUAAAUGGAGUACGAAAACAAUGCAUGUGAUUAUAUUAAUGAUUCAAUGACUGAUGGGGAUGAGACCACUCAAUAAAUGCUUUACUGCUUUUAAUGUUUUACCGUCGGAAGUUCACCCCAAAACAAUUAUCGGUUUACAAUCAAAUUUCUUUUUUGUGACUUUUUUUUGUUUCUCUUUUAUCCUAAUAAGUGAAAAAGCUAAUUUAUCCUAAUUAAAGGUGUUUUAAAUAGAGAGAAUAGUAUUGAGACUUGAGAGAAAAUGAAUCGAUUGAUUUAUUUCGCAGUAUGAAUAUACAGGGAGUUCGCUUGCCUUUUAUACAAUCGCUAACUAACUUGUUAACUAAGCUACUAAUCCCAACUAAUCAAGUUUAAGUUAACUAAUCCCACCUCUCAGUUUGUGUGCUUCAGAUCACAUUACCACCUGCCACCUGGGCUAAGCUGUAAUUCCAUGCCAUCAAUCUGUGGAACAAUCUCAUUGAUCACUUCUUGUUAUUAAUUUUAUUACGUUAAUUGUUAUUAUUACUAUCAUUAAUGUCAUUAAUAUCAAUAUUAAUGUUAAACUUUAGUAAUUAUUAUUAUUAUUUUUGUCACUAAUGUCAUUAUCAUUAUUAUUAUUGAAAUAUAUUAAUUUUACUAUUUUUAUUUUUAUUAAUUAUUUUAUUAUUAAAAUUUAUUAAUUAUUACUGUUUUAAUUAAUAUUAGUCAUUAUUUUUAUUUUUUUAUUUUUUUUAUUUUUUUUAUUUUUAAUACUAUUAUGAUAUGUAUAAAUAAUAUUAAAGACAAUUAAUAAAGUGUAUUUUAGUAACUUACGACAACACUUCAUUUAAUAAUCGCACUAUAAAUUGAGCAUGUGAAUUGCAUUGUCUUAAAACUCUCACGCAAGCCUCCAUAAAUCGGCAUUUGAUGUGACCAUAUUAACGGCGAUUUUUCAAUGGGUGGUGACCAGUCAAAAAGUCUGAAACUACGCGUGUAGUCACGUGAAAUGUAAGUAGUUUUACCUCAUGUUAUAAUUAAGGUAUUUACCCGGGUCAAAAAGUUCUGCUAUUUACCUCCCGUCUUCAUUUUUAUCUUCCUCUCUUCUUCAAUUCUCCUCUUCGUUUCACCAACAGAGCACAAAUUGUAGCACAAAUUGCACCACAAAUUACAUACCAAUUCAGCACAAAUUGCAGAAGUUACUUGUACAACAAUUCAUCACAAAAUACAAAGCAAUUGAAAACAAAAUGCAGACAAAUUUGUACACAGUUUCUUCCGAACCAAAAUCUCAUUUUCAUCAUCAUUCAUCCUCAACACUAGGCAUUAAGCACCUCAAUCAAGUGCGGAAAGGAAAAAUGAAUAUCAAUUGUAAUUUAACACACUUAUUUUCUUAACAUUUUAUUUCUGAAAUCAAAUAUGAAAUCCGUAAACGCCGAAACUUAGUCUUAUGUCAGAAAAUUUUCACAGUUGUUGUUCAAGCUUUUGCUCGGGUGUGGUGAAUCCAUAAAUGCCGAAACUCUAUCUUGUUCAAGCUUUUGCUCAGGUGUGGUGAAUCCAUAAAUGUCGAAACUCUAUCUUGUUCAAGCUUUUGCUUUUGCCUUGUCUGAGCCAAAUCAUGUCACCUUCGAGGAAGAUAAGAGCUUAUGGUGAAUCGAAGAGGAAGAUGAAGAGAAAGAAAAGCAGCUGCGUUUUUCUAUUUCUCUACGUUUUUUCUAUUUUUAUUAGGCAGAAACGAUUACGUUUCAAGGAAGCAAAAAGAAAAAAAAAAAAAACCAAAACGGCGUCGUUUUGGUUUAAUUUGGGGUUUGACCCGAGGAAAGUAGCAUUUUUCUAUAAUUAAAAGGCUUCACUUACCUUACAUUAUUACAUAAGGUACAUAAUUCUAAGAUAAUUAUUUAAUAAAAAUU